Molecule: long non-coding RNA, 944 nt
Filed under: Pan troglodytes (chimpanzee)
Lineage: Eukaryota; Metazoa; Chordata; Mammalia; Primates; Hominidae
Description: long non-coding RNA NONPTRT003384
Source: RNAcentral
AAGAGGAAGAAGAAGAAGAAGAAGAAGAGGAAGAAGAAGAAGGAGGAGGAGAGAAGGAGGAAGGGGGGAGGAGGGAGGAGGAGGAGAAGGAAGAAGGAAACAGAAGGAGGAGGAAAUGACUUGGGGCAGGUGAUGGAUGUGUUAAUUAGCAUGAUUGUGGUGAUUAGCUCACAAUGUGUAUGUAUAUUAAAACAUCAAGAGCUUUAGGGAGAGUCUAAAUUUUCUUGGGCUUUAUUGAAGUGGUUGUGAUUAGAAUGCUAAUAGAAAAAUGGACAGUAAAGGUGAUUCUGAUGAGAUCACCUUUCAUCUGACAAUAUCAGAUGAAACUGAGAAGCAAGGUCAGCUAAGUAGCAAAGCAUUUAUGGUGCUGCAUGGCUUCUUUUGGAUACUUACAGGAAAAUGAGAUGUAGAAUGCAAGAGCUAUGAUGGCUUGGUGGCUUCUGACUAGAUUUCAAAAGAUGUUGUGAACAGCCUGGGGGCCCAGGCAGAGACUUGUCACAAGUAUGGAACCACCACAAAGAGUCCCCACUAGAGGAAUGCCCAGCAGAGCCAUAUAAGCAGGGCUACCACGGAGAGUCCCCACUAGAGCAAUGCCUAGUGAGCCAUAGAAGUGAAGCAGCCCCCCGCACCCCAAAACUGUAGGGCCACUAGCAUGCAGCCUCAGCCUGGGAAAGCUGCAGGCAUGAGGCUCCAAGUCAUGAGAGCUGCUGGGUGGAUUGUUAACACAUUAAUUCAAACUGAAAUCUGAACAUUUAAGUUUGAGUAGAUUAGAUUGGAAAAGAUUUAAUUAUAAUACCUUAACAGGCAAGGGAUCAAGCUUCCAUCAUAACUUUGUGUGCUAAUGUAGUCUUUCCAUAAUAUUUCCCUUAUAUUUACAAUAUUUAGAAAAAAAGCACUUGAACAAAAAAAAUUCAACAAAUAUGUUUGAAUGAAAACUCUGUAGG